UGGGGAAUCUUGCACAAUGGGCGCAAGCCUGAUGCAGCAACGCCGCGUGCGGGGAAGACGGCCCUAGGGUUGUAAACCGCUUUCAGGGAGGGAAGAAAAUGACGGUACCUCCAGAAGAAGGUGCGGCCAACUACGUGCCAGCAGCCGCGUGACACGUAGGGUCACCAAGCGUUAUCCGGAUUUAUUGGGCGUAAAGAGCUCGUAGGCGGUCCGUUGCGUCUGCCGUGAAAACCCGGAGCUCAACUCCGGGCCUGCGGUGGAUACGGGCGGACUAGAGUCCGGUAGGGGAGACUGGAAUUCCUGGUGUAGCGGUGGAAUGCGCAGAUAUCAGGAGGAACACCGGUGGCGAAGGCGGGUCUCUGGGCCGGAACUGACGCUGAGGAGCGAAAGCGUGGGGAGCGAACAGGAUUAGAUACCCUGGUAGUCCACGCCGUAAACGGUGGGCGCUAGGUGUGGGGAUCGUUUCCACGAUCUCCGUGCCGUAGCUAACGCAUUAAGCGCCCCGCCUGGGGAGUACGGCCGCAAGGCUAAAACUC
Molecule: ribosomal RNA, 536 nt
Filed under: uncultured bacterium
Lineage: Bacteria
Description: bacterial SSU rRNA
Rfam family: Bacterial small subunit ribosomal RNA
Source: RNAcentral